RNAcentral lists this ribosomal RNA (1372 nucleotides) under Halobacterium sp. HM13. RNAcentral describes it as "16S ribosomal RNA". It matches the Rfam family "Archaeal small subunit ribosomal RNA". The record is from RNAcentral. Lineage: Archaea; Methanobacteriati; Methanobacteriota; Halobacteria; Halobacteriales; Halobacteriaceae.
GUCCGAUUUAGCCAUGCUAGUUGUGCGGGUUUAGACCCGCAGCGGAAAGCUCAGUAACACGUGGCCAAGCUACCCUGUGGACGGGAAUACUCUCGGGAAACUGAGGCUAAUCCCCGAUAACGCUUUGCUCCUGGAAGGGGCAAAGCCGGAAACGCUCCGGCGCCACAGGAUGCGGCUGCGGUCGAUUAGGUAGACGGUGGGGUAACGGCCCACCGUGCCCAUAAUCGGUACGGGUUGUGAGAGCAAGAGCCCGGAGACGGAAUCUGAGACAAGAUUCCGGGCCCUACGGGGCGCAGCAGGCGCGAAACCUUUACACUGUACGAAAGUGCGAUAAGGGGACUCCGAGUGUGAAGGCAUAGAGCCUUCACUUUUGUACACCGUAAGGUGGUGCACGAAUAAGGACUGGGCAAGACCGGUGCCAGCCGCCGCGGUAAUACCGGCAGUCCGAGUGGAUGGCCGAUCUUAUUGGGCCUAAAGCGUCCGUAGCUGGCUGAACAAGUCCGUUGGGAAAUCUGUCCGCUUAACGGGCAGGCGUCCAGCGGAAACUGUUCAGCUUGGGACCGGAAGACCUGAGGGGUACGUCUGGGGUAGGAGUGAAAUCCUGUAAUCCUGGACGGACCGCCGGUGGCGAAAGCGCCUCAGGAGAACGGAUCCGACAGUGAGGGACGAAAGCUAGGGUCUCGAACCGGAUUAGAUACCCGGGUAGUCCUAGCUGUAAACGAUGUCCGCUAGGUGUGGCGCAGGCUACGAGCCUGCGCUGUGCCGUAGGGAAGCCGAGAAGCGGACCGCCUGGGAAGUACGUCUGCAAGGAUGAAACUUAAAGGAAUUGGCGGGGGAGCACUACAACCGGAGGAGCCUGCGGUUUAAUUGGACUCAACGCCGGACAUCUCACCAGCCCCGACAGUAGUAAUGACGGUCAGGUUGAUGACCUUACCCGAGGCUACUGAGAGGAGGUGCAUGGCCGCCGUCAGCUCGUACCGUGAGGCGUCCUGUUAAGUCAGGCAACGAGCGAGACCCGCACUCCUAAUUGCCAGCAGUACCCUUUGGGUAGCUGGGUACAUUAGGUGGACUGCCGCUGCCAAAGCGGAGGAAGGAACGGGCAACGGUAGGUCAGUAUGCCCCGAAUGGGCUGGGCAACACGCGGGCUACAAUGGUCGAGACAAUGGGAAGCCACUCCGAGAGGAGGCGCUAAUCUCCUAAACUCGAUCGUAGUUCGGAUUGAGGGCUGAAACUCGCCCUCAUGAAGCUGGAUUCGGUAGUAAUCGCGUGUCAGCAGCGCGCGGUGAAUACGUCCCUGCUCCUUGCACACACCGCCCGUCAAAUCACCCGAGUGGGGUUCGGAUGAGGCCGGCAUGCGCUGGUCAAAUCUGGG